CUGGAAAAAUCCAGAAGAUUGCUUGAGUUUCUCUGAGUAUUUGAAGGUUGCAUGCUCUUGCCCAGAUGACUUGUUUUUCCUACUGAGAAUAUGUCCCAGUACUACAGACGUGAGCUGUAGCCGGACUUCCCCCUUCUGAAGCUGCUGAGCUGUUAGCUGGUGGAGGGAGGGACAGGAGGCUGUCCCAGUCCCAUGCCAUCCCAAAGAAACCCAGGUCAACAUGCAGAAGUUUUCAGGACUGUCCCCUGUGUGGCCAGGUGGCUUUGCAGGGAACAAAACUCCUUCCAUUCCUGGGCUGCCUUGGAAUGUCCCUGGAAGAAGUUGCAUAGACAUACUGUUUGCUCUUCCUGGCCCUCAGUUGGCUGGGCUGCAAGUCAAGAGUGUGACAUCUGCAGCCUGGGUGAGACUGAGCAGCACAAGAAGGCUGGGACAAUGACUUCCUGUGCAAACAAUGCCUGCUUCCCAUGUGAGAUCUGAGUUUAUUCCCCCAGACUGCGAGGGGAGAGGCAGCAUGCUGAAUAAAGCUUGUCACCUAGAACUUUGACAUGGAGACAGACAUAC
This is a long non-coding RNA of Mus musculus (house mouse), 561 nucleotides long. RefSeq annotates it as predicted gene, 52864. The record is from RefSeq and is a predicted model, not a curated record. The transcript is spliced from 3 exons. Lineage: Eukaryota; Metazoa; Chordata; Mammalia; Rodentia; Muridae.